This 427-nucleotide ribosomal RNA is filed under the name uncultured bacterium. RNAcentral's name for it is "bacterial SSU rRNA". It matches the Rfam family "Bacterial small subunit ribosomal RNA", at positions 355 to 774 of the family's 1533-position model. The record is from RNAcentral.
UGGGGAAUAUUGGACAAUGGGCGCAAGCCUGAUCCAGCCAUACCGCGUGGGUGAAGAAGGCCUUCGGGUUGUAAAGCCCUUUUGUUGGGAAAGAAAAGCAGCCGGUUAAUACCCGGUUGUUCUGACGGUACCCAAAGAAUAAGCACCGGCUAACUUCGUGCCAGCAGCCGCGGUAAUACGAAGGGUGCAAGCGUUACUCGGAAUUACUGGGCGUAAAGCGUGCGUAGGUGGUUGUUUAAGUCUGUCGUGAAAGCCCUGGGCUCAACCUGGGAAUGGCGAUGGAAACUGGGCGACUAGAGUGUGGCAGAGGGUAGUGGAAUUCCUGGUGUAGCAGUGAAAUGCGUAGAGAUCAGGAGGAACAUCAGUGGCGAAGGCGACUGCCUGGGCCAACACUGACACUGAGGCACGAAAGCGUGGGGAGCAAACA